UACAGAGGUCUCAAGCGUUGUUCGGAUUCAUUGGGCGUAAAGGGUGCGUAGGCGGCGCGGUAAGUCGGGUGUGAAAUUUCAGAGCUUAACUCCGAAACUGCAUUCGAUACUGCUGUGCUUGAGGACUGGAGAGGAGACUGGAAUUUACGGUGUAGCGGUGAAAUGCGUAGAUAUCGUAAGGAAGACCAGUGGCGAAGGCGGGUCUCUGGACAGUUCCUGACGCUGAGGCACGAAGGCCAGGGGAGCAAACGGG
RNAcentral lists this ribosomal RNA (253 nucleotides) under uncultured bacterium. RNAcentral's name for it is "partial 16S ribosomal RNA". It matches the Rfam family "Bacterial small subunit ribosomal RNA", at positions 524 to 776 of the family's 1533-position model. The record is from RNAcentral.